AGAACGAACGCUGGCGGCAGGCCUCAAACAUGCAAGUCUAGGGGGUGUAGCAAUACAUCACCGGCGGACGGGUGCGUAACGCGUGGGAAUGUACCUAUUGGUUCGGAACAACUGAGGGAAACUUCAGCUAAUACCGGAUGAGCCCGAAAGGGGAAAGAUUUCUCGCCAAUAGAUCAGCCCGCGUCCGAUUAGCUAGUUGGUGGGGUUAAAGCCUACCAAGGCGACGAUCGGUAGCUGUUCUGAGAGGAAGAUCAGCCACACUGGGACUGAGACACGGCCCAGACUCCUACGGGAGGCAGCAGUUGGGAAUCUUGGACAAUGGGGGAAACCCUGAUCCAGCCAUGCCGCGUGAGUGAUGAAGGCCUUCGGGUUGUAAAGUCCUUUUAACGGGGAAGAUAAUGACGGUACCCGUAGAAUAAGCCCCGGCUAACUUCGUGCCAGCAGCCGC
This 448-nucleotide ribosomal RNA is filed under the name uncultured bacterium. RNAcentral's name for it is "SSU rRNA". It matches the Rfam family "Bacterial small subunit ribosomal RNA", at positions 26 to 518 of the family's 1533-position model. The record is from RNAcentral.